ACUUCUUCUUCAUCUCCUUUUUUUUUUCCUCUUCUUCAUCAUUUCUUUUUUCUGUAGCUAUUACUUUAACAGUUUUAAUAGGAUUUACUUUUUUUAUUUUAUUCGAAUUAUUUGCAUUCUUUACAUAUUUUAAUGAACUGUCAUAUAAAUUAUCAAUUAUGUUAUAUGCAUUAUUGUUGUUAUUGUUAUAUGUAUAACCAUUAACACCACUACUACUACUAUUCGUUCCAAUUGCUGAUUCUCUUUUUGUGUUUAUAUAAUCAUGUGAUAAUGGGGUAGUUUCAUUUUUAUUAAUACUACCACUAUUAUCUUUAUGCAUAUCCGAAUCAAUACCAUGAAAACCUUUAGUCAUAUUUCUUCCACCUCGCAUAGGAUGUAAGGCUGACAAUGAACCAUCACGAUUAUUGUUGUUAUUAUUAUUAUUGUUGUUGUUGUUGUUGUUGUUGUUGUUGUUGUUGUUGUUGUUGUUGUUGUUGUUGCCAUAUUUUUUAACACUACUAUUAUUAAAUGGGGUUUUAUUUAAUACAAAGCCUUUUUUUGCAGAAUUGUUAUUAACUAUCGUAUUAUUGUUAUUACUUCUCACAUUAUCAUUAUUAUUAUUUUUCAUAGUGUCAGUGUUAUUACCACCGGUGUGGUGA
Molecule: long non-coding RNA, 638 nt
Filed under: Piliocolobus tephrosceles (Ugandan red Colobus)
Lineage: Eukaryota; Metazoa; Chordata; Mammalia; Primates; Cercopithecidae
Description: lncRNA (ENSPTEG00000016663.1)
Source: RNAcentral